GUGACCAGCGGAGGGAUCAUUACCGAGUUUACAACUCCCAAACCCAAUGUGAACGUUACCAAACUGUUGCCUCGGCGGGAUCUCUGCCCCGGGUGCGUCGCAGCCCCGGACCAAGGCGCCCGCCGGAGGACCAACCUAAAACUCUUUUUGUAUACCCCCUCGCGGGUUUUUUAUAAUCUGAGCCUUCUCGGCGCCUCUCGUAGGCGUUUCGAAAAUGAAUCAAAACUUUCAACAACGGAUCUCUUGGUUCUGGCAUCGAUGAAGAACGCAGCGAAAUGCGAUAAGUAAUGUGAAUUGCAGAAUUCAGUGAAUCAUCGAAUCUUUGAACGCACAUUGCGCCCGCCAGUAUUCUGGCGGGCAUGCCUGUCCGAGCGUCAUUUCAACCCUCGAACCCCUCCGGGGGGUCGGCGUUGGGGAUCGGCCCUCCCUUAGCGGGUGGCCGUCUCCGAAAUACAGUGGCGGUCUCGCCGCAGCCUCUCCUGCGCAGUAGUUUGCACACUCGCAUCGGGAGCGCGGCGCGUCCACAGCCGUUAAACACCCAACUUCUGAAAUGUUGACCUCGGAUCAGGUAGGAAUACCCGCUGAACUUAAGCAUAUCAAUAAGG
This 605-nucleotide ribosomal RNA is filed under the name Trichoderma harzianum. Its description in RNAcentral is "eukaryotic LSU rRNA". The stretch from base 224 to 377 matches the Rfam family "5.8S ribosomal RNA". Lineage: Eukaryota; Fungi; Ascomycota; Sordariomycetes; Hypocreales; Hypocreaceae. The record is from RNAcentral.